Molecule: unclassified non-coding RNA, 220 nt
Filed under: uncultured Gammaproteobacteria bacterium
Lineage: Bacteria; Pseudomonadati; Pseudomonadota; Gammaproteobacteria
Description: contains 16S-23S intergenic spacer region
Source: RNAcentral
UCCGGUUUGUCACCGGCAGUCUCAUUAGAGUGCCCAACUGAAUGUAGCAACUAAUGACAAGGGUUGCGCUCGUUGCGGGACUUAACCCAACAUCUCACGACACGAGCUGACGACAGCCAUGCAGCACCUGUGUUCCCGUUCCCUUUCGGGCACAGCCGGGUUUCCCCAGCCUCCAGGACAUGUCAAGGGUAGGUAAGGUUUUUCGCGUUACGGUCUUACU